AGUGAACGCUGGCGGUAGGCCUAACACAUGCAAGUCGAACGGCAGCACAGUAAGAGCUUGCUCUUACGGGUGGCGAGUGGCGGACGGGUGAGGCAUACAUCGCAAUCUACUUUUUCGUGGGGGAUAACGUAGGGCCACUUACGCUAAUACCGCAUACGACCUACGGGUGAAAGCAAGAGAUCUUCGGACCUUGCCCGAUUGUAUUAGCCGAUGUCGGAUUAGCUAGUUGGCGGGGUAAAGGCCCACCAAGGCGACGAUCCGUAGCUGGUCUGAGAGGAUGAUCAGCCACACUGGAACUGAGACACGGUCCAGACUCCUACGGGAGGCAGCAGUGGGGAAUAUUGGACAAUGGGCGCAAGCCUGAUCCAGCCAUACCGCGUGGGUGAAGAAGGCCUUCGGGUUGUAAAGCCCUUUUGUUGGGAAAGAAAAGCAGCAGGUUAAUACCCCGCUGUUCUGACGGUACCCAAAGAAUAAGCACCGGCUAACUUCGUG
This 492-nucleotide ribosomal RNA is filed under the name uncultured bacterium. Its description in RNAcentral is "partial 16S ribosomal RNA". It matches the Rfam family "Bacterial small subunit ribosomal RNA", at positions 29 to 507 of the family's 1533-position model. The record is from RNAcentral.